UGCAAGUCGAACGAGUUCUCGUUGAUGAUCGGUGCUUGCACCGAGAUUCAACAUGGGAACGAGUGGCGGACGGGUGAGUAACACGUGGGUAACCUGCCCUUAAGUGGGGGAUAACAUUUGGAAACAGAUGCUAAUACCGCAUAGAUCCAAGAACCGCAUGGUUCUUGGCUGAAAGAUGGCGUAAGCUAUCGCUUUUGGAUGGACCCGCGGCGUAUUAGCUAGUUGGUGAGGUAACGGCUCACCAAGGCGAUGAUACGUAGCCGAACUGAGAGGUUGAUCGGCCACAUUGGGACUGAGACACGGCCCAAACUCCUACGGGAGGCAGCAGUAGGGAAUCUUCCACAAUGGACGCAAGUCUGAUGGAGCAACGCCGCGUGAGUGAAGAAGGCUUUCGGGUCGUAAAACUCUGUUGUUGGAGAAGAAUGGUCGGCAGAGUAACUGUUGUCGGCGUGACGGUAUCCAACCAGAAAGCCACGGCUAACUACGUGCCAGCAGCCGCGGUAAUACGUAGGUGGCAAGCGUUAUCCGGAUUUAUUGGGCGUAAAGCGAGCGCAGGCGGUUUUUUAAGUCUGAUGUGAAAGCCCUCGGCUUAACCGAGGAAGCGCAUCGGAAACUGGGAAACUUGAGUGCAGAAGAGGACAGUGGAACUCCAUGUGUAGCGGUGAAAUGCGUAGAUAUAUGGAAGAACACCAGUGGCGAAGGCGGCUGUCUGGUCUGUAACUGACGCUGAGGCUCGAAAGCAUGGGUAGCGAACAGGAUUAGAUACCCUGGUAGUCCAUGCCGUAAACGAUGAAUGCUAGGUGUUGGAGGGUUUCCGCCCUUCAGUGCCGCAGCUAACGCAUUAAGCAUUCCGCCUGGGGAGUACGACCGCAAGGUUGAGACUCUAGGGAAAUU
RNAcentral lists this ribosomal RNA (894 nucleotides) under Lacticaseibacillus paracasei. RNAcentral describes it as "bacterial SSU rRNA". It matches the Rfam family "Bacterial small subunit ribosomal RNA", at positions 56 to 912 of the family's 1533-position model. Lineage: Bacteria; Bacillati; Bacillota; Bacilli; Lactobacillales; Lactobacillaceae. The record is from RNAcentral.